Formica exsecta is the source of this 462-nucleotide long non-coding RNA. RefSeq lists it as uncharacterized. The record is from RefSeq and is a predicted model, not a curated record. The transcript has 2 exons. Lineage: Eukaryota; Metazoa; Arthropoda; Insecta; Hymenoptera; Formicidae.
GCCUAAGGGUGCGAACUCAUGCAGCGGAAUAGCGUAACGCGGGACGAGUCCGGAGCGCCAUCUUGGCAUAGUUUGCGUUUAGACGUACUUUUGAGUGCCUCUUGUGAAAUUGUCAAAUUAGCUUGUUUUUAGACUUUCUAGAGUGCUUUAUUCAGUCCUGAGCCGCCUCACUAUCGAGUGCCACCUCGGGAAUAGUGAAAAUCCGGCGUUCAGAAGCUUGCCGUUCUCUUAAUUCAACAUCUUCGAAGGAGGGAUCCUCCGGUCUACGCGGGAUUGAUCCGGAACCUACAAACAAACAAAUAAGUAAAUAAGUGAGUAAUACAUCUACUACGACUACUACUACUACAAUUACAUUUCUCUCUAACAAUGGACACGGAUACGGAUAUGGAUAAAGAAAACGAGGAUCCUCAAUUUGAGGCUGCCCUUAGCUCGUUGAUUUCAGAAGCUCGUUCGAAGCCCUUU